CGCGUAGGCGGCGGAGCGUGUCGGAUGUGAAAUCCCCGGGCCCAACCCGGGAAGUGCGUCCGAAACUGCCCCGCUGGAGGAUGGAAGAGGGAAUCGGAAUAUAGGGUGUAGCGGUGAAAUGCGUUGAUAUCCUAUAGAACACCGGAUGCGAAGGCGGAUUCCUGGUACGUAUCUGACGCUGAGGCGCGAAAGUCGGGGGAGCAAACA
RNAcentral lists this ribosomal RNA (207 nucleotides) under uncultured bacterium. Its description in RNAcentral is "partial 16S ribosomal RNA". It matches the Rfam family "Bacterial small subunit ribosomal RNA", at positions 568 to 774 of the family's 1533-position model. The record is from RNAcentral.